This 496-nucleotide ribosomal RNA is filed under the name uncultured bacterium. Its description in RNAcentral is "partial 16S ribosomal RNA". It matches the Rfam family "Bacterial small subunit ribosomal RNA", at positions 29 to 507 of the family's 1533-position model. The record is from RNAcentral.
AUUAACGCUGGCGGCGUGCCUAAUACCUGCAAGUCGAGCGAACAGACGAGGAGCUUGCUCCUCUGACGUUAGCGGCGGACGGGUGAGUAACACGUGGAUAACCUACCUAUAAGACUGGGAUAACUUCGGGAAACCGGAGCUAAUACCGGAUAAUAUAUUUAACCGCAUGGUUCAAUAGUGAAAGACGGUUUUGCUGUCACUUAUAGAUGGAUCCGCGCCGCAUUAGCUAGUUGGUAAGGUAACGGCUUACCAAGGCAACGAUGCGUAGCCGACCUGAGAGGGUGAUCGGCCACACUGGAACUGAGACACGGUCCAGACUCCUACGGGAGGCAGCAGUAGGGAAUCUUCCGCAAUGGGCGAAAGCUUGACGGAGCAACGCCGCGUGAGUGAUGAAGGUCUUCGGAUCGUAAAACUCUGUUAUUAGGGAAGAACAAAUGUGUAAGUAACUAUGCACGUCUUGACGGUACCUAAUCAGAAAGCCACGGCUAACUACGUG